This is a non-coding RNA of Pelobates cultripes (western spadefoot toad), 201 nucleotides long. NCBI's taxonomy places the organism in Eukaryota, Metazoa, Chordata, Amphibia, Anura, Pelobatidae. The record is from the annotation of a GenBank genome assembly.
AUUUUUGUCCAGUAAGGCUUUAUAAGGAGGAUUAAAGCGAUCGUGCAGUUGGAAUGGAGUCUUUUAUAGCAGCGUUUGUCCGUUGAUUUUGGAAUACCAGAGCUUUCUGAGAUUAGCCGCUAUGUAUUCUCCCCUGUCUGCUUCUGGAACUGUAAAUAAAUAUAAUAAAAGUAUAAAUGCAGGUUAGGUAACAGUGUUUAU